AAAUUGAAGAGUUUGAUCAUGGCUCAGAUUGAACGCUGGCGGCAGGCCUAACACAUGCAAGUCGAACGGUAACAGGAAGCAGCUUGCUGCUUCGCUGACGAGUGGCGGACGGGUGAGUAAUGUCUGGGAAACUGCCUGAUGGAGGGGGAUAACUACUGGAAACGGUGGCUAAUACCGCAUAACGUCGCAAGACCAAAGAGGGGGACCUUCGGGCCUCUUGCCAUCAGAUGUGCCCAGAUGGGAUUAGCUUGUUGGUGAGGUAACGGCUCACCAAGGCGACGAUCCCUAGCUGGUCUGAGAGGAUGACCAGCCACACUGGAACUGAGACACGGUCCAGACUCCUACGGGAGGCAGCAGUGGGGAAUAUUGCACAAUGGGCGCAAGCCUGAUGCAGCCAUGCCGCGUGUAUGAAGAAGGCCUUCGGGUUGUAAAGUACUUUCAGCGGGGAGGAAGGUGUUGUGGUUAAUAACCGCAGCAAUUGACGUUACCCGCAGAAGAAGCACCGGCUAACUCCGUGCCAGCAGCCGCGGUAAUACGGAGGGUGCAAGCGUUAAUCGGAAUUACUGGGCGUAAAGCGCACGCAGGCGGUCUGUCAAGUCGGAUGUGAAAUCCCCGGGCUCAACCUGGGAACUGCAUUCGAAACUGGCAGGCUUGAGUCUUGUAGAGGGGGGUAGAAUUCCAGGUGUAGCGGUGAAAUGCGUAGAGAUCUGGAGGAAUACCGGUGGCGAAGGCGGCCCCCUGGACAAAGACUGACGCUCAGGUGCGAAAGCGUGGGGAGCAAACAGGAUUAGAUACCCUGGUAGUCCACGCCGUAAACGAUGUCUACUUGGAGGUUGUGCCCUUGAGGCGUGGCUUCCGGAGCUAACGCGUUAAGUAGACCGCCUGGGGAGUACGGCCGCAAGGUUAAAACUCAAAUGAAUUGACGGGGGCCCGCACAAGCGGUGGAGCAUGUGGUUUAAUUCGAUGCAACGCGAAGAACCUUACCUGGUCUUGACAUCCACAGAAGUUUCCAGAGAUGGAUUGUGCCUUCGGGAACUGUGAGACAGGUGCUGCAUGGCUGUCGUCAGCUCGUGUUGUGAAAUGUUGGGUUAAGUCCCGCAACGAGCGCAACCCUUAUCCUUUGUUGCCAGCGAUUAGGUCGGGAACUCAAAGGAGACUGCCAGUGAUAAACUGGAGGAAGGUGGGGAUGACGUCAAGUCAUCAUGGCCCUUACGACCAGGGCUACACACGUGCUACAAUGGCGCAUACAAAGAGAAGCGACCUCGCGAGAGCAAGCGGACCUCAUAAAGUGCGUCGUAGUCCGGAUUGGAGUCUGCAACUCGACUCCAUGAAGUCGGAAUCGCUAGUAAUCGUGGAUCAGAAUGCCACGGUGAAUACGUUCCCGGGCCUUGUACACACCGCCCGUCACACCAUGGGAGUGGGUUGCAAAAGAAGUAGGUAGCUUAACCUUCGGGAGGGCGCUUACCACUUUGUGAUUCAUGACUGGGGUGAAGUCGUAACAAGGUAACCGUAGGGGAACCUGCGGUUGGAUCACCUCCUUACCUUAAAGAAGC
This 1553-nucleotide ribosomal RNA is filed under the name Salmonella enterica subsp. enterica serovar Heidelberg. Its description in RNAcentral is "bacterial SSU rRNA". It matches the Rfam family "Bacterial small subunit ribosomal RNA". The record is from RNAcentral. Lineage: Bacteria; Pseudomonadati; Pseudomonadota; Gammaproteobacteria; Enterobacterales; Enterobacteriaceae.